CCCAACGCUCCCUCAGAAAAAAAACGACCCAACGCACGCCCCAUCCCUCGUCCCACAAUCCCUGGCCUCCUCACCUUUCUUUGCCCGAUGGGGCUUCAGUGUGGCGGCAGCGUCGACCGCCGGCAGCACCGCCUGGAUCUCCUAGCGCCAGCACCUGCCCCAUCGUCCGCGACCUAUCCACUCCAACGCGCGGUAAGCGCGCCGCGGUCGCCAGGCUCGCCACCGCCUUGUCGCCGACGUCCCGAUCCAUUAUGCCAGACGGGAGACAGAUAGGGAGCGGCCGAGCUCUCCGCCGAGGAAGAGAGAUGACCGUCGUCCCUUGGUCUAGGCCUGCCCAGAAGCACACAUCAUGGAGGGCAAUUGUUGAUCCCACGAUCUCCAUUGAGGCCCAGCGCAUGUCCUAGAAUAUGUGUGCCUUGGGUAGGAGGUGCAAUUCGAUGAACUGCACACCUGAACGCAGCACUCGUGCAAAGAUGCAACAUCUUGGUCGGCUGCUCGCGGCGGAGCGUGCGGCUGGUGCUUGCAGCAGUGGCAGAGCAGCGUCAGCGAGCGCGGCGCAAGCAGUGGCCAGAGCUGCAUGGGCAGCUGCAAGCAUGCCAUCCAGGCAUCACUUCAAGUAUGACAAUGUCCACUCUACACCAAGAUAUUAGUCAGUUGGGAGAUGAGGUGGUUUGCCAGAUAAGAAAUAGAGUAAGGACAAGAAGGAGCUUUAAUUGGGUCAUGUCAUGGUGAACCUGGAGCACAGAAUUUUACAGGAGAUGGUCAUGAUAAAACAGGGUGCUUAAGAUCUAGGGAAGUAUAACAUUUUUUUUUAAAGCAAAGUAAAACAAAUUUACUUUCUGGGUCUAAUUUAAUUUUUCUAUGUUCAUAAUCUCUUGCGUGAAUAGAUAGACCAAGCCGAGCAGGGCAUCAACUAUCUACUCAUGCUUUGGUUCAUUUUCUUGGAGUAUUUGUGUUCUUAAAUUCUUAAUCUUGGUUUUCACUCGUUUGUGCUCUAUCCUCUCAAUCCAGUUACGUAUGCAAUCCUCAAUGAGGAUAAUUUUUUUUCUGAAUCACUUAGCAGCCUCUGCAUCCUUCUGCCUUAGUCUGAUCAAUUUUUCCCACUAUGCCGUUUUUUUUGCCAACAUAUUGGAACGAAGGUGUCUCCAUGUCAAACAUGCAUCCGUUGAAAAUUUGGUGUCAACCAGUUUUUGGAGGAUUGCAUCAAUGUUCCUCAUAUUUCUAAUAUUAGGAUAUUAGAAAUCCCCUUUUCCCUACAAUGUUUAUCUUUUCGUUCUUUUAGAUAAUGCCAAUUUUUUUGGUGCCAGUGCCCAGUUGUGUAUAUUCUUGGACCUUUUACAUUUGAUAUUAACAAUCCAAAACUUAACACGUUUCUAGCCUUCUAGAGGAACUUGCAUUUAAUGUUAUCAAUUUUCUUGCAGCAAACUUCAAAGUUCUUGAUACUUUUGCUUGCACUUAUUUUCCACAGGCUCACAUAUUUUAGUGUUGUGCAGUUUAGAUGUCAAUAUGAUGGCCAUUUCUUUUACGGGUAAGGCAAGAGAUCCGUCUGCUGCUACUACAAUCGGCCGCUGCACUACGCUGGCUGAGGCCACACGUCAUCACCUACCCCACCAUGCUGCACCUUUGGAUUGCUGGCUGCCGAGGCCGACACCAUCUGUCGCCCCUUAACACUUUUUUAAAAUCAUGGAAAAUCUCUUGGUUUCUUUACCAUGUUGUAAUUUGUUUCUAUGCUUUACAUUUUAUUGCGUCAUGCCUCCAGGACCCUGUUUUCUAAACUACAGUUGCAUUAGCAUGAGGCUCUUCUGUAAUAUGCAGGACUACUUCCAAACAACAUACUCCCUCUGUCCGGAAAUACUUGUCAUCAAGAUGAAUAAAAGGGGAUGUAUCUAGACGUAUUUUAGUUCUAGAUAUAUCCCUUAUCCAUUUUGAUGACGAGUAUUUUUGGACGGAGGGAGUACAAAUUCUUCUAGAUGUCCUCAAACUUUCUAUUUCCAAUGCAUAGAACCCAAACAUAUGCUUUUCGGAUGUCUCAGGUAUGGAAUUAAUCACUACUACAAGCUUUGUCUACACUUCAUAAGUUAUAUGGAGCAAGUUGAUCUUUAGAAGAAUAACAUGUGAAAUUCAACUUUUGGAUUUGUUGAAUUAAUAUGAAUGUAGCAUUCUUCCUUCUUGACCAAUAGGUGCUCGAGUUCUUUGUCUAAUGUGGGUACUGAAUAUAAGUGAGUCCUGUUGUAGCAUAUGAAAGGAGCCUUGAUUGUUGAGGAUUUCACAACUUUAUUAGAUCUUUUAUCAUGAUAUAUUAAAUAACUUGCUGCUAUGAUCUGGGAGCAGAUUGUUGCUUUCAUUGGUGAGCCAAUCAAGCAAUUGGAAUAACUAUAAAUUUUCGUUAAUUGCACUCUAGGUUAUCUGCUAUCGGAUUGUUCAUACAACGUGCCACAGCCACUUCUGCAGGUAAUAUGCUAGCAUGUCUUCUGAUUAGUUUAGCACAUGGAUUGUCAAAGUUUUUUCUGCCAUGUUGCUUGAUAGUUUUAGCCCAUUGGAUUUUCACGUGCUCGCUUGUGAGAUGUGAUA
Molecule: long non-coding RNA, 2571 nt
Organism: Triticum urartu
Lineage: Eukaryota; Viridiplantae; Streptophyta; Magnoliopsida; Poales; Poaceae
Source: RefSeq, a predicted model, not a curated record